CCUGCGGAAAGGACAUUAAUGAUUGGUGGCUGUUGCUGACUAGUGUUUCUAGUAUGUGCACGCCACACCUUCAAUCCCACUUACACCUGUGCACCUUCUGUAAUAGAUCUAUGUGGAUACGGAGAUGUGAAAGUUUGCACUCCCCUACUCUGUUGAAGCACUCUACUACAUUUUUUUUUUUACACACACAAUAAUCAUUGAAUGUAUUUUUUUUUUUUUUUGAUAAAAACAACUUUCAUCAACGGAUCUCUUGGCUCGCCCCUCGAUGAAAAAAGUAACGAAUUAAAAUAUGAAAUGUGAAGUGAAUAAUUCAAUGAAUCAUCUAAUCUUUGAACGCACCUUGCCCUCUUUGGUAUUCCAAACAGAAUGCCUGGUUGAUUGUCAUGAAUCUCUCAAAUACAAUGAUUUUUAUUAAUUGUUGUGUUUGGACUUGAAAUGUUGUCGGGGCAAGUCAACUCUUCUUAAAUGUAUUGUCUGGGGUGUAUAUAAUUGGAUCCUUGGUGUGAUAAUUAUCUACUCCUUGAAUUCCCUGCACAGUCUGCUUCGAAUCGUCUCCUAGAGAAAAUAUUUGAAUCAACUGACCUCACAUCAAGUAGGACUACCCGCUGAACUUAACCAUAUCAUAAAAUGAAGAAAAAGAAA
The sequence is a ribosomal RNA, 642 nucleotides long. The stretch from base 231 to 384 matches the Rfam family "5.8S ribosomal RNA".